GGAAUUACAGAUUAAUCUUUAAUUAAAGAUUAUAUCAUAAAAUGAAACCUCCGGGAAUACAUCCAACCAGAAUUGGCAACUAUAGUGCUAUAAGAA
This is a non-coding RNA of Chelonoidis abingdonii (Abingdon island giant tortoise), 96 nucleotides long. The record is from RefSeq and is a predicted model, not a curated record. Lineage: Eukaryota; Metazoa; Chordata; Testudines; Testudinidae.